Molecule: transfer RNA, 71 nt
Filed under: Sitta villosa
Lineage: Eukaryota; Metazoa; Chordata; Aves; Passeriformes; Sittidae
Description: tRNA-Glu
Source: RNAcentral
GUUCCCAUAGUUAAAUUUUUUAACGGUGGUUUUUCAGGCCACAAAUCCUGGAGAGAGGCCAGGUGGGAAUU